GAGAAGACUGGUGGAUUAAGUGGUCAGUCAAAUUCGACUGGGCGUUCCUCCGCCGUCCUCCGCCGUUAUCCCAAGCAAUAUGUCUCCAUUGGCCGCAGCCACUAGCUUCCAUGGCCUCCCCUUCCCUGAAUUCCCUCAAUACCCCUCUCUUCCCCGUCAUCACCUUCUCUUCCCUAAACCACCCUUUUCCCCUCUCUCCCACCCCACAGUAAGCCUACUUUUCACACACACACACACACACUCGAAAACAUGCACUUUAGUUUGUUUGCCUAUAAUUCAGUGUUACAUGAAAAGAUGUUUCCUGCAGACAUUUCUGAAGUUCCGGCUGGUUCAGCAUUAUCAAACAAGGCUUUUCAUUCGCCGUCCUCAGUACUCAAUUACAACAAAACCGCAAGGUAUUUCAGAAAAAUAAGAAAAGAAGAGACAUUUUCUUUGUAGUUUCCUCUGAUUAAUUUUUUAAUAUUGCAUGCUGCAUUGAAGAAAAUGCUGGAAAAAAAUUGUUGGUUUGUUUUCCUGUUACAGAAUUUAGUGAUAGUACCUAUGAUCGAGAGCUUCGGUACGUGCUUGAGCUUGCUACAGACGCUGAAUUAUAUGAGCUUGAGCAAAUUUUAUUUGGUACAAGGUGCUUUUUGUUUUCUUGUUUUGCAUAUUUCCUUUUUGUACUGUUUUGUUAUUGUUUCAUUGAGCAGAAGUGUGUGAUUGGAGGAUGUGUUAAAUUUUUGUUUUUGGUUUUGGGGGCUCAAUUUUGAGUGUGUUUGCAGUUAUUUUAGUCCGUUAUUGAAGUCGAUUGCAAAAAAGGAAGAUAUUGAUUACUUUAUGAUUGGAGUGGACCCGGAGGAAAGAGAUGAGUAUAUAUCCAUGUUGGAGAAGAGAUUCUUGUACCUUGCUGCCGAUGCGCGCUCUGUUUUGAGGUUACUUUUUAACCUUGCUAGUUGUGGUUAAUGAAAAUUGACUUUAUAAUAAUGUUGUUAAAUUUUUAGGAAUGUGAAUUUCUGUGCAAUAAAGUGAUUAAGCUUCGUUAUUCAGUAAGUUCUCUGCUGAAAUUUACUCCAACUGUUGUAAUAAGCUAAGCAAAAUAAGUUCUAAGUUGGGUUUUAUAAAGUUGAUGAACAUCAUAAUCCCACCCUCCCUCCCUCUCUCAUGUUGGACUAUUCUGUUUAAAUGAAUAGAAGAAUGAAAUUUGCACGUGUAUUUUUGUUUUUAGGCAAAUGUUCAGUGAAUGCUUAUUUUCAUUUGGUAUUGUGAGGCCAAAAUUUUGUAAUGCAACCAAGUGAAUUCAACCGUUUGCUGUUGCUUAAUAUUGAAUGCUUGAUACCUAUAGGUUUAUUCAGUGUUCUUUGGUGGAGUAUGUACUGUAGUCUGGCAUCAUUUUUUGGUGAACUCGUGCUUCUUUGGUAAUGAAGCCUGUAAUCAUUGCCGAUCAAAUUCUGUUUUCUUCUUUUCUUCUUUUUUCCUUUUUUUUUUCUCCCCAAGAGGUUUACUGGAUGUCAUGUUGAGCUCCUUUGAGUGACUCGAAUUGGCUUGUGCUGCUGUAGGGGUUGGAGGCCUUCCUAUAGGAACAUACUUCUUGGAGUGAGGAAAAAGUUAAAUAUACCUUGUUCAUCUAAAUUGGCUACCGAGGAUCUGGAAGCAGAGAUUUUUCUUCACAUGCUGCAAGAC
This 1659-nucleotide long non-coding RNA is filed under the name Coffea arabica (coffee). RNAcentral's name for it is "long non-coding RNA (CARA_LNC003116)". The record is from RNAcentral. Lineage: Eukaryota; Viridiplantae; Streptophyta; Magnoliopsida; Gentianales; Rubiaceae.